AAUUACACAGGUAGUCACCAACAUUAUGUAAUUUGAAUGGUAACAGCCUGCAAAGAAAUGUGUUUGCCAUUACAUCAAUUUGUUUUUUUUUUAGGCUCUUUUCUAUCUUAAUUUGAAAGAAUCGUCAUUUCCGCCCAUGCGUCACAAUGUCGGACUUGAUUAAGCCUCCUCCAGCAUAAAGUAAGCUAGCAAAAUGAGGAAACAAGAACAGGAUUCCGACUGAUUCUGCAUUAAGGCUCUGGCAGGUUCCAGUGCAUCAGACAAUAAAGUUAAGAACCAAUUGAUAUGCAAUCGCUUGCUCCACUGAGGAAAGACUGGACAUUUUUAGGGAAAGGAAAGAACGAUGUGUGGAGGGAACAAUGCAGCAAAACCAAGGAGCAGGAGGACUCUUGCAACUGUGACACAAUUCGAUAUGGAUACGGCCACGGCUGCACUACUUUGACUGUGUCGCCUUCACGCUGCUGCCGCUCACAUGUGGGCCGGUUAUUGAUGGAGCCAUCAUAUCCAUUCUGAACAUCUGUAAUAAAAUUCUACUCUUAUUGAAUUUAGCGAUGGGUUCAUUCUCUCUCACACAGCUGCAGUCUGGCCCUUAUUGCAGAGUCACUACAGACGUCCUG
Nerophis lumbriciformis (worm pipefish) is the source of this 617-nucleotide long non-coding RNA. RefSeq lists it as uncharacterized. NCBI's taxonomy places the organism in Eukaryota, Metazoa, Chordata, Actinopteri, Syngnathiformes, Syngnathidae. The record is from RefSeq and is a predicted model, not a curated record.